RNAcentral lists this ribosomal RNA (253 nucleotides) under uncultured bacterium. RNAcentral's name for it is "partial 16S ribosomal RNA". It matches the Rfam family "Bacterial small subunit ribosomal RNA", at positions 524 to 776 of the family's 1533-position model. The record is from RNAcentral.
UACGUAGGGGGCAAGCGUUGUCCGGAUUUAUUGGGCGUAAAGAGCGUGUAGGCGGCCUGACAGGUCUGCUGUGAAAACUCGAGGCUCAACCUCGAGAUGUCGGCGGAAACCGUCUGGCUAGAGUCCGGAAGAGGAGAAUGGAAUUCCUGGUGUAGCGGUGAAAUGCGCAGAUAUCAGGAAGAACACCCGUGGCGAAGGCGGUUCUCUGGGACGGUACUGACGCUGAGACGCGAAAGCGUGGGGAGCGAACAGG